AGACAGGCAGACAGUAGCUCCUAUUUGUCUCUGAUUCCCCUAACGACAAAGUUUGACGUCGCCGUAUCAGGUCCCGAUCCUAAGCAAGUAGUAUAGUUUUAAAUUGCAAGACAACCGAUGUCCCAAACUUUUUAUUUUUGAGAAGCCGCUACACAUAGGACACAGCCGAGUACCGCAGACUUUCUGGGAUUGCGGGGAAGGGGUCCCCCUGUGUCAGCUCGGGCCCUUGGUGUUGGCCUGCUAGGUUGCACCCCCUUUUGCACAAGAGGACAGGCCAGGAACGGCAGUCAGGUAGGCAUGUGGAGUGGGUAGGGCGAAGGAAGCUCUGGAGGAAAAACAUGCCGAACAGCCGCCAGGAAGCCCGCGUGGAGGGCGUGGGAGGCAGGCAGAGCACAGAACUAAACCAGAGAUUGACCUUCCUGGAUUAUCAAAGACCCGGGCGGGGACUGUGCAAGCUGUCAAGCAACUUUCCAAAGGAGAGGUGGCUGAGGGUUGAGGGUGGAGCGUGGACAAGAUCCAUUCCUGCACCUGGAAUGUACACAUGUGAUGAUCCGGAAGCUCUUUAGCUUCUCUACCCAAAGCCCUACCCCACUUAAGACCCAUAUUGUGAGCAUUACAUCGGACCUGUGUGGACACCAGCUCCAACUGUUAAUACUUCCCAGGAAAGCAUGUGGGUGUGGAGGGUUAAUUUCCUGUUCUCAAUAAACUGCCCACUAGGCAUUUCCCACAUCUUUAAUCAAGUAGGUGAUGGCCACUUUGGCAAUACCACUUUGGAGUUUUGCUUCAGAAAUGCUUUCCUAAUAUCCUUAGGCACCACACCUUCUGACCACUGAUAUUCCCUAAUGCCUGGUGGCACCUAAGAAACUAGGUCUUACCAAACCGGUUAAGGAUAAGAUAAGUGUAAUCAAACAGUAAUCAGGCAACUACUUACUGUUAACUGCCUCAUACAUUUUUAUCUUUUCAAUACUUUUGCUUAUAGUAAGAUUACAUAUGUAUUAAAUUCUCAAAGAAGUGGUUUGCUCUGAGUGUCUGUUGAUUAAAAGAUAUUGGAAAAUGACCAUCUCUUCACCAAUACAAGAAGCGUUUCAAUUGUCUAAACUUUAAUUAUUUUAAAGCAUCAGUAAUAUGAGUGUAUCACGUGAAUUACUGCCCUAUGAGUGAGUGCCUUUCAUUGGAUUUCCUCGAGAUGGAUCUACCUUAAGACUGUGGUAUCUUGAGAAUUAAACUCCUGGCUGUCAAUGUCGUUCCGUGGAUAAGCACCCUGCUUUCCUUGUUUAAGGGAGAGAAUACUAAUGAGCUGUGAAAUGACCAAAAAUCAGGCAGCAGAAGGGAAAAGAAGAAAUAACGGGUUUGAUGAGUUGAAGUCCCUUCAAGCUGGUUCCUGAGUCCUUUUGAUCAUUUUUUGGAGUAUUUCCUCACUCUCUGGGACAAGAAGAUAUUCCAGGAUCUCAUACUUUCCCUGCCCCAAGUGUAUAAUCAGCCUUUUCCCCAAGGAGCUCUGAUUCUUUUUGUUGGAGAAUGAUAUUAAAUAAUAUUUAGAAACCAA
Non-coding RNA from Equus caballus (horse), 1546 nucleotides. NCBI's taxonomy places the organism in Eukaryota, Metazoa, Chordata, Mammalia, Perissodactyla, Equidae. The record is from RefSeq and is a predicted model, not a curated record.